CCGCGGUAAUACGAAGGGGGCUAGCGUUGUUCGGAAUUACUGGGCGUAAAGCGCACGUAGGCGGAUCUUUAAGUUAGGGGUGAAAUCCCGGGGCUCAACCCCGGAACAGCCUCUGAUACUGGAGAUCUUGAGUCCGAGAGAGGUGAGUGGAAUUCCGAGUGUAGAGGUGAAAUUCGUAGAUAUUCGGAGGAACACCAGUGGCGAAGGCGGCUCACUGGCUCGGUACUGACGCUGAGGUGCGAAAGCGUGGGGAGCAAACAGG
Molecule: ribosomal RNA, 262 nt
Filed under: uncultured bacterium
Lineage: Bacteria
Description: partial 16S ribosomal RNA
Rfam family: Bacterial small subunit ribosomal RNA
Source: RNAcentral